CAUGUCCUCAUGCCACACCUCCAGAGAUCUGCUACAGCACCUGCUUAAAGACCUGUGACACAAGGAAUCCCAAAUGGUAUGGGGCCAAAGAUCUGUUGAGCUGAACCCAUGGUGGGGCUUGGUAUUUGAGCCUGUUAAAAGAUGUAAAAAUACUUGGUAUUUAGUAGGGUUUUUUUACAUCUUUUAACAGCCCACUGUUAGGAUAAACUUCUCCCAAGUCAAAAAUGGCAGUGUAAGGGAAAAAAGGUAAUCUGAGGGUUGCAAAGAAGCAGUUCAGGCAGAACUAAAGCCCUGAACAAAUGGACAAAAGUCUUUGCAGUUUUGUUAAACAAUGGCUCUGUAUCCUCACCUUCUGAUCCACGACACGCUCUGCUGCCACAGCUUUAGUGCCAGUCACACCACUCACUCUGCUCCCUGCCAAAAAUCCCUUAUUGGAUGGGUGUCAGGAGAGAAAUCGCACAGUCCUGCUGUUCCCUCUGAAUUAAACAUUUGAUUUCCCUGUGUUUUCAGGAAGAACCGUGAACAGCUCACGCUGUGCCUAGUAAGAGUCCACUUAGCAAUUGCACUGACUGAGUGUAUUUACCCCCUUAUCUCCUCAGGCAGAGCCUGUGCCUUCUCCAUCGGCAGAAUUCAGCAUCCCUCACCCACAACCAGGGAGCCAAGGCACACCCCUGGAUCUCCACCCACUCUGACCGAUGAGGGAACACGAGAGUUCCUAAACUCUUGUAUCCCUGCAUUUUCCUUGCCUCCUUUCCCUUGACACGGGCCAAAAGCUGGGGAAGCUGUGAGCAGCAAAAUUCCAGGUGGGCAGAAGAUGGCAGCAACAGCCCAGCAACAGCUCUGCUUCACCGGAUAGGGAUUUCCUCUCUUCGGGAAUACCGGUGUGGUUUUGCAGAGGAGAGGAGACAUUUUCACCCCUUUGGGCUUCAGGAUUGUGAUCAAGAGACACCAGGACUGGAAAAUCAAAGGAGAUGGCUCAGCAUGAAGAGCUUGGUGUGAGAAGGACCAUGGACUGAGUAUCUCAUCCAUGUCACUGUGAUGGCUUCUCCUGGACCAGGACCCACCAUGGCCUGUGGGAUAAGCUCUGCUCCCAGGAGGUUCACAGGAUACAAGGACAGGAGCAACCAUCCAUCAAAGCACAUUGUCACCAGCGUGGCAGACAGCAAGCCCCAGGUGUGGAAGGGACAAGCUCUCACAAGCUCACAUUUUUGGGCCUGGUUCCUGUUUCACGUGGCAGCAGGGCUGGCCUCGACCCGGUGCCUGCCCCAACAGAGCAGGACACGGCAGCUUGGAAGGGACUGUCAGGAGGAGAACAGCUGAGAGCCACAACCAUCCCGGCGCGUGUAUAAAUAGAGACGGAGCUGUUAUCCUGAUGAAAUGAGACCAGAUGUUUCUGCCAAAUCCCUCCUCUCUGCUAGUGAAAAUUAUAGUUUAGUUACAGCAGGGCAAAGCAGGCAGCAAAAUAUUUUCAACCAACUAAUGUUGGGAAGUCAAAGGGGCAAAAUGCCUCACUGGGGUAGGGGUACCAUGCCCUGUGAUGCUGCAGGGCUGGAUUGGGCAUGGUCAGAGUGGGAACCAGAGGAGUCCCUCGCUGCCUUUGUUCCAUUUUUCUGCUUCCUAUCCCAGUAUUAAUGGGCUGAGCUUUAAAGCCCAUGCUGCGGCCGCUUUUGUGAGGUAGAAAUUCAGUGUCAGCACAUGUAUCCUGGAGGCAGUUGGCACGAGAUGAAGGAGGGACGGCAGCAGCAGUUAAAACUGGGCCUUGGCUCUUUAAUAUUUAACUUUCCCCAGUGCUGGGGUUUUUUUUUAAUCAGUUUGUGCAUUAUCUGCCAUCCCCGUUCAAAGAGGGUUUUAGCACAGAGAUUUCAGUGCUUAAUCCCAGGGGCAGGGAAAGCGGAAGAGUCUCUCUGAAGGUUCCAGGGCUCAAUCUGGCCUCAAUUACACCAGCCUAAAUCAGCAAAGAGUGCCCACCAUGGACGUCACUGUGACUGCAACAGGCUGCAGGUAACAGAAUUAGGGGUCAGUCCUGCAUCUCUCCAGCAGACACCUCUGGUCCCUAAGGCUCCAUCCAUAAGGGAGUUCCCAGGAAGAUCUAAACGUUGUCAGACUGUCUCAGAAUAAACGUCCACCCUGGGCAGCAACCAGGGCCUGGCUGUGGCCAGCUGCAGAUGCUUAGGAAGGGAUAUGGGAAGAGGGAGAGUAUAAAGUGAUCCUUCCUCUGGCAUUUCCUCCUGGCUCCUGGUAAUCAGCAGUUGAGGGACUUCCUAAGCCGGAGGUUGCAUGAAUUUGUGUAAUCCCUUUUGUUGUUUGGUUGUUUUUUUUUUCCUCAUUCAUUUAUACUUUUGGCCUCCAUGACAUCCUGUGGCAAUAAGUUCCACAAUGUAAUUAUGUGUUGUGUGAAAAAGUACUUCCUUUUGUCUGCUUGAGACCUGGCUCCUGAACAUUUCUCUCCAUGUUCUUGUGUUGUGAAGAA
Long non-coding RNA from Passer domesticus (house sparrow), 2470 nucleotides. RefSeq lists it as uncharacterized. The record is from RefSeq and is a predicted model, not a curated record. NCBI's taxonomy places the organism in Eukaryota, Metazoa, Chordata, Aves, Passeriformes, Passeridae. The transcript is spliced from 3 exons.